UACGUAGGUGGCAAGCGUUGUCCGGAAUUAUUGGGCGUAAAGCGCGCGCAGGCGGUCCUUUAAGUCUGAUGUGAAAGCCCACGGCUCAACCGUGGAAGGUCAUUGGAAACUGGGGGACUUGAGUGCAGAAGAGGUUAGUGGAAUUCCAAGUGUAGCGGUGAAAUGCGUAGAGAUUUGGAGGAACACCAGUGGCGAAGGCGACUAACUGGUCUGUAACUGACGCUGAGGCGCGAAAGCGUGGGGAGCAAACAGGAUUAGAUACCCUGGUAGUCCACGCCGUAAACGAUGAGUGCUAAGUGUUAGGGGGUUUCCGCCCCUUAGUGCUGCAGUAAACGCAUUAAGCACUCCGCCUGGGGAGUACGGCCGCAAGGCUGAA
This 376-nucleotide ribosomal RNA is filed under the name uncultured bacterium. Its description in RNAcentral is "bacterial SSU rRNA". It matches the Rfam family "Bacterial small subunit ribosomal RNA", at positions 524 to 898 of the family's 1533-position model. The record is from RNAcentral.